ACCUGACUGGCUCAGUUGGAAGAGCGUUUGAUUCUUAACCUUGGGGUCAUGAGUUCGAGCCCCACGUUAGGUG
Molecule: transfer RNA, 73 nt
Filed under: Ailuropoda melanoleuca (giant panda)
Lineage: Eukaryota; Metazoa; Chordata; Mammalia; Carnivora; Ursidae
Rfam family: tRNA
About the family: Transfer RNA (tRNA) molecules are approximately 80 nucleotides in length. Their secondary structure includes four short double-helical elements and three loops (D, anti-codon, and T loops).
Source: Rfam by way of RNAcentral